RNA transcript from Musa acuminata AAA Group (dessert banana), 2671 nucleotides. It is a transcript of the gene named pentatricopeptide repeat-containing protein At4g21065-like, with no coding region annotated. NCBI's taxonomy places the organism in Eukaryota, Viridiplantae, Streptophyta, Magnoliopsida, Zingiberales, Musaceae. The transcript has 2 exons. The record is from RefSeq and is a predicted model, not a curated record.
GGCUCGACUCCAGGCGGGAGGUUGGGUGGGAUCGUGUUCAGAGCCGUCACGUAAUUCGUGUAAUGUCUCACCGUGCUUACCCGGCCUCCGGCUGCUCCUCCAGCGGCCAUUACCGACAUGUUGGAGGGCAAACGCUCAGCCUUCUCCAUCAUUUCCCUGGAAGCGAAAAAAUCCCUCUUUUCUUCUUCCUCCUCUGCCGCUUCCUUAUCCGCCGUCCUCGACCCCUUUCUUCCGGCUACCGAAUCCGCGGCGCAAGAGACCCCCUUCUCUCCCGCCCCCCUCCAUCCAAGAUCUUUCGUCUCGGCCCUCGUGCGAUGUCGAUCUCCGGCAGAGAUCAAGAAGGUUCACGCUUUGGCGACCACUGCCGCGAUGAUCGACGACCUCGGGGUAGCAAACAAACACGUGUACAUCUACGCGCAGCAUGGGGCAUUAGCCGACGCGUACGCUCUGUUUUCUCGGAUGAAGGAACGCGACAACGUGUCUUGGAGUGUGAUCGUAGGCGGGUUUGUGAAGGUUGGGUAUUAUGCCAAUUGCCUGCAAACUUUCCGGGAUUUUGUUCGCUCGGGCUUGCGGAUAGAUAACUUCACUCUGCCUUUCGUCCUGAGGGCGUGCCGGGAUACGGUGUCUCUUCGACUGGGUGUCGAGAUCCACCAUCUUGUUUUCAAGGCUGGGCUGCAGUCGGAUCUCUCUGUCUCGGCAUCUCUCGUUGAUAUGUACGCGAGGUGUGGUGAUGUUGACGAUGCUCGGAAGGUGUUCGAUAGGAUGCCAAAGAGGCAUAUGGUGACUUGGACGGUCAUGAUGUCUGGUUAUGCAGAGUGCGGAAACCCAGAGGAGUCGCUAGCGUUGUUCGAUAGGAUGAGGGGGGAAGGUGUUGUUCCUGAUAAGAUAGCCACAGUGACUGUCGCUUUUGCUUGUGCGAAGCUGGGGGUGAUGCAUAAAGCUAAGAUGAUCCAUGAUUACAUAUCGAGCUGGAAUUUCUCAUUGAAUGUAAUCUUGGGAACGGCACUGAUCGAUAUGUAUGCAAAGUGUGGCAGCGCCGAUGAUGCCAGGGUGAUCUUUGAUCGGAUGAAGGAUAGGAAUGUCAUCAGUUGGAAUUCAAUGAUCUCGGCUUAUGGGAUUCAUGGUCGUGGCAGGGAAGCCCUCGACCUGUUUCCCCUCAUGUUGCAGAGCGGCAUUCGGCCCAAUAGGAUUACCUUUGUUUCCAUCUUGUCAGCUUGUAGCCAUGCAGGCUUAGUUGAUGAGGGUAGGCAGUUUUUCCAUUUGAUGGAGAAAGACUACUCGAUCAAACCUGAUGUGAAACACUAUACAUGUAUGGUGGAUCUUCUUGGACGAGCAGGUAAGCUAUAUGAGGCCCUUGAGUUGUCUGAGAAGAUGACACUAGAAAAAGACGAAGGCUUUUGGGGUGCACUUUUGGGAGCUUGUAGGAUUCAUGGCGAUGCAGUUUUAGCAGAGAAGGCUGCAAUAUCUCUUCUUGAGUUGCGUCCAAGAAAUUCUGGGUAUUACGUUUUGCUCUCCAAUAUAUAUGCCAAUGCUGGUAGGUGGGAAGAUGUAGCCGAGGUAAGGGAUUUGAUGGCCAGCAGGAGUUUGAGGAAGAAACCUGGCUGGACAUGGAUCGAGAUUAAUAACGAGACUCAUCGCUUCGGAGUUGGUGACAAAUCCCAUCCACGAUCAAAGGAGAUCUAUGAGACAUUGAAGGUGUUGAUCGAGAAGUUGGAGUCGGCUGGUUAUGUUCCUGAUACAAACUUUGUGCUUCAUGACAUAGAUGAGGAACUUAAAGCGGGCUUUUUGUACACCCACAGCGAGAAAUUAGCGAUUGCGUUCGGUCUAUUUGCAACACCGGAGAGCACAACACUAAGGAUAACUAAGAACCUCAGAGUCUGUGGAGACUGCCACACAUUUAUCAAGCUGGCAUCAUCUGUCAUGCAUCGGGAGAUUAUAGUUCGGGAUGCGCAUAGGUUUCACCACUUCAACGGAGGAGGAUCUUGUUCUUGCGGAGAUUACUGGUGAUCAACUGAACCUGCGAUAUCGGUAAAUUCAUUUUCUGGUUCAGUUUUUGAUGAUGAGCAUGUGACAACGUAAGGUAAUACAAAUCUUUUAUUGCUAAGGUGACACCAACAUCAUCUCAGACUGAUCUCAUCCUUCCGGAAAGCACCACUUCUGUCAGCGGCAGCCGCCGAUUCACUACCGUUGCUGGCAUUCGAGUGUGUGAAGCCACCAUGGCAGAAUUCUCGGGGCAAAGCGUCUCGGCAGAAUUCUUUACACCAACCCUGCUCACCUGAGCUAUCAUUCAUCGUCAAAGGCUAUCUCGAAGUCGGAUUCAUGGACAGUAUGAAGAGGCGACAUGAUUUUGUUCCCCAAGGGAUCUAUGCUCUGCGGUCGAAGCCCUGCAGUGCCAUUUCUGCUUUUGGAAGUGCAAUCUAUGGCAAUGAUGAGAGAGCACAAUUGCUACAGCAUUCACGACCGAUGUUGCCACCGGUCGGAAGAUCGAAGCUGGUGUUGCAAGUACGUCUCUCUGGCACGAGCCUUUUGUGGAAGAAUUGUGUUACUCUUUCCCCUUCGGAGACCACUGGGUCAUGAGUGUCGAUUGUUUCUUGGGUCAACAAUAUUGCGUAACAUCUGCUGCGACUAAUCUAGCUAGCCAGAUUUUUUCUUGGGUCAACAAUAUUGCGUA